CACGCUGUAAACGAUGGGUGCUAGGUGUUGGAGGUAUCGAUCCCUCCAGUGCCGCAGUAAACGCAAUAAGCACCCCGCCUGGGGACUACGGCCGCAAGGCUGAAACUCAAAGGAAUUGACGGGGGCCCGCACAAGCGGUGGAGCAUGUGGUUUAAUUCGACGCAACGCGAAGAACCUUACCAGGGCUUGACAUCCACAGAACUCGGUGGAAACACUGGGGUGCCCUUCGGGGAACUGUGAGACAGGUGG
Molecule: ribosomal RNA, 249 nt
Filed under: uncultured Gelria sp.
Lineage: Bacteria; Bacillati; Bacillota; Clostridia; Thermoanaerobacterales; Thermoanaerobacteraceae
Description: partial 16S ribosomal RNA
Rfam family: Bacterial small subunit ribosomal RNA
Source: RNAcentral